This 468-nucleotide ribosomal RNA is filed under the name uncultured bacterium. RNAcentral's name for it is "partial 16S ribosomal RNA". It matches the Rfam family "Bacterial small subunit ribosomal RNA", at positions 28 to 507 of the family's 1533-position model. The record is from RNAcentral.
GACGAACGCUGGCGGCGUGCUUAACACAUGCAAGUCGAACGGAAAGGCCCUGCUUUUGUGGGGUGCUCGAGUGGCGAACGGGUGAGUAACACGUGAGUAACCUGCCCUUGACUUUUGGAUAACUUCAGGAAACUGGGGCUAAUACCGGAUAGGAGCUCCUGCUGCAUGGUGGGGGUUGGAAAGUUUCGGCGGUUGGGGAUGUACUCUCGGCUUAUCAGCUUGUUGGUGGGGUAGUGGCUUACCAAGGCUUUGACGGGUAGCCGGACUGAGAGGGUGACCGGCCAAAUUGGGAAUUAGAUACGGCCCAGACACCUCAGGGAGGCAGAAGUGGGGAAUAUUGAACAAUGGGAGGAAGCCUGAUGCAGCAACGCCGAGUGCGGGAUGACGGCCUUCGGGUUGUAAACCGCUUUCGCCUGUGACGAAGCGUGAGUGACGGUAAUGGGUAGAGAAGCACCGGCUAACUACGUG